Regulatory RNA element from Listeria monocytogenes EGD-e, 173 nucleotides. It matches the Rfam family "T-box leader". Rfam says of the family: Uncharged tRNA acts as the effector for transcription antitermination of genes in the T-box leader family. NCBI's taxonomy places the organism in Bacteria, Bacillati, Bacillota, Bacilli, Caryophanales, Listeriaceae. The record is from Rfam.
AUAGGUGCGUUGAAGGAAAAUAGUAACAAAAAGCUCUAUUUUUAGCGAGUUCGGGUUUGGUGGGAGCCGAAUAUUUAACUUUUUGUGAAGGCGUUCUGGAGUACAGCGAAAUCAAGGUGGGAAUUGUUUAAUUCCAAAUAGGGUGGAACCGCGAGCUAACUCUCGUCCCUAUA